Erinaceus europaeus (western European hedgehog) is the source of this 1521-nucleotide long non-coding RNA. RefSeq lists it as uncharacterized. The transcript is spliced from 2 exons. NCBI's taxonomy places the organism in Eukaryota, Metazoa, Chordata, Mammalia, Eulipotyphla, Erinaceidae. The record is from RefSeq and is a predicted model, not a curated record.
AAGGGGACAGAAAGAUAGACACCUACAGACCUGCUUCACUGCCUCUGAAGAGACCCCCCCUGCAGGUGGGAAGCCAGGGGCUUGAACCAAGAUCCUCAGGCCGGUCCUUAUGCUUCACACCAUGUGCACUUAACCCGCUGCGCUACCACCCAACCCCCCCUGCUCAUAUUUUUCUAGUACUUCCCUGUUGACUAUUUUAGACUUCAUCCCAAGUGACAGUAGCCACAGAAUCAUCAGAUUGCAGUGCUUGUUUUGUUGUCUAGGACUUACUAAAACACAUAUAACUAGAAGCUGUACCAUCUAAAAUAACUCUGCUUCUCCCAGGAAACAUGUCCUACCACUUGGAAACCCAAUGCAGAUCACAACUGCAUAUAGCUAGGAGAACCUUUCCCUAUCUCCAGAAGUUUAUGAAGUCCCAGGAGGCCUAUCUCCUCUAGUUGCCCUGUUUUCUUGAACGUCCUCGGUCAGGAGAAGACUUACUUGUGAGAAAUAUACCAAGAUUUCAAAAGUUGAUAUUUGGAUGAUUUCUCUACUCUUUGCUGGACUCAUCCAGGAAGGCUCUGAAGACUGGUGGCUGAUUUUGCUGAGUUUUUUUUUUUUAAUUUAUCAUUUUUAUUUAUAAAAUGGAAACUCCAACAAAACUAUAGGAUAAGAAGAUACAACUCCGCACAGUCCUCACCACCAGAACUCCGUAUCCCAUCCCCUCCCCUGAUAGCUUCCCUGUGGACCCAGGGUCAUUAUGGGGUGCAGAAGGUAGAAGGUCUGGCUUCUGUAAUUGCUUCCCCACUGAACAUGGGCAUUGACAGGUCGAUCCAUACUCCCUGGCUGAAUUUUUCUAGAAGAUAAUUAAAAAAAAAAAAAAAGUCCUGAUAUUCAGCAUUCUUUCCAGAGGACCAUUUUGGGUGGAACUAGUAGUCCAGGCAGAAUAUAUAAACAGAUCAAGGCAUUUUUCAUGAGUAAAAGUUGGGAAUCUUUAACAACCCUGGAAAGACAUAUGUGGUUUUGUGCCUUUGGAUUUUUUUUUUAAUUUAAGAAAUCUUUUAUAAUUGAACAUAUGUGCAUGUUAAAAUUUUUAAAUAUGCCAUGAAAAAUUGCUUUCCUCCUGCUCUUGACUCCCAGUUGAAUUUUCCUCCCUAGAGACAGCCACCACCACUACAUUUUCUUAAGUGUCUUCUGGAUCCAGACACUUAAUGUGCAUACGCAAAUGUAUUGCUUACAUCCCAUGUGAUCUCUAAAUGGUAGAUCUUUCUUAAAUGUUUGAAGAUAUAGCAGCUGCCUAGAGAAAUUUUGGGGGAGGGAAUAGAACAAUAUGAAAAAAUGUCAUUGGGGGGGGGGCUUCCUGACCCCCUAUGAAUUUGGAAGCUCACACAUCAAAAUCAUUGCUAAGGGCAUGGUAUAGUGGUGAGUAUAGCUGCCUUCCAUAUCAUUGCUAACAGAAGAAAUAAAUUAUAUGUACAGUUAAAUUGAGCUAAUCCUAUGUAUAGGGACAAUAUUUUGGAAAUAAAGUGAAACUUUGAAUAG